Syngnathus acus (greater pipefish) is the source of this 1030-nucleotide long non-coding RNA. RefSeq lists it as uncharacterized. The transcript has 3 exons. The record is from RefSeq and is a predicted model, not a curated record. Lineage: Eukaryota; Metazoa; Chordata; Actinopteri; Syngnathiformes; Syngnathidae.
CGAUACAGACUUACACAGAGAUUCUUGAUGAAUGAUGCAGUGAAGAAAAAUAACAUCCUGGUCAGCGUUUUCUUCUUUCACUUUAUCCUGGAUUCUCUUCAGCAGCCCGACUUUUUUUCCUGUUAAAUUUGGCGAUCCAUCCGUAGUGACACAGGCAAGUUUACUCCAAGGCAGCUUCAUUCUUUCGAUGAAAGCAGACACCUGUUCAUAUAAAGCCGCUCCUCGCGUUUUCCCCUUCAGCGAUUCCAUGCUCAAAAGCUCCUCCGUUAUUUCAAAACUGUCAUUAAUCCCUCGGAUAAAAAUUAGGAGCUGGGCAGUGUCUUUCAUGUCGUUGCUUUCAUCCAAUGCUAGUGGAUAUAAAUGAAAGGACUCCACCUUUUUAUUUAACUCGCUAACGAUAUCUUCGUCAAUCAGUUCGACACGGCGAGUCACUGUCCUGCGUGAUAAGCUGAUUUUUUUUAAACUUGUCUUUGCUUUCCAGACACAGAAGAUCUGCUGUCUCUACCAUGCAUUCUUUCAAAAACUUGCCUUCGGAGAAAGGCUUGCUAGCCUUUGCUAACUUGAAUGCCAGCAAAAAAACUUGCCUUGGUACUUGACUCUUGAAUCGCAAUUUGUCGGUGAAAAUAAUUGUGCUGAGUCUGUAAAUUAGCUGCCAACGUCUGAGCAGUAGCCGCCCGUUCUUGUGUUGAUUGCUUGCUCGCGUAGUUAGCAUGCUUUGAGGCAAAGUGACGGCUGAGAUUGUACUCUUUGAAAACUGCAACCGUUUCUUGGCAUAUCAGACAUACAGCCGUUGAUCGAACAUCAGUAAAAAAAAUAUUUUGUUGUCCACUCCUUUUGAAAAACUCGGCACUCAGCGUCCACUUUUCUUUUCUUUGGUCCGCUCAUUAUUACCGGAGGGGGGAAAUGGCAGCUGUAAUGCUACACUCCAACACUGUCAUUCCUUGAGGUCAGGGGCCGGGAACCUUUUUGGCGGACAGAGCCAUAAAUGCCCAUUUUUAAAAAAUAAUUUUUCACGAGAGCCAUACCAUUU